UAUUUAUAUCCUCUUUUUUUGUAUCUCAAGUUUUAAAUAAUUAAGUUUCAAGUGUCUCCUUAUUCAGGAUUAUUGUCUCUAGAGAUUUCAAUAUUUUUCAUGGCUUAGACCAUCUCCGAUGUAUACCUCUAAAUCUUACUCAAAAAUAGAGUAACUCUAUUUUAAAGAAACUCUAUUUUUAAAGGAGGGUUUCUCUCCAAUGUAUAUCUUUAUAAUCUACUCUAAAAAGGAAU
Molecule: small RNA, 233 nt
Filed under: Arabidopsis thaliana (thale cress)
Lineage: Eukaryota; Viridiplantae; Streptophyta; Magnoliopsida; Brassicales; Brassicaceae
Description: ATSL059820
Source: RNAcentral